This 782-nucleotide long non-coding RNA is filed under the name Chrysolophus pictus (golden pheasant). RNAcentral describes it as "lncRNA (ENSCPIG00010007949.1)". The stretch from base 638 to 721 matches the Rfam family "mir-15 microRNA precursor family". The record is from RNAcentral. Lineage: Eukaryota; Metazoa; Chordata; Aves; Galliformes; Phasianidae.
CUCCCCCAAAGCCCGAUUUCGGCUGCGAUAUUUUCGGGGCGGCGGUUUUCUGCCGAAAUCUGCCUUCGUGGCUGAAAACCGCGGGGCAGAGCAGCGCUUUGUGCCUCCAGCAAACAGAGCGGGCAGCUGAAACUCGGAGGGGAGGAGCGAAGGGUCGGCGAAUUUGCAGGAGGCUCACAAACAAAUCAAACAAACAAACAACAGCUUUGAAACGACAGCUUACGGGCAAAUAACCGUUUUCUCCCUAGAAAAACCCACGUCCGAUGGGCUCCCGUGUGGUUGGAGGCACUGGCAGGAGGAGCUGUAGCCCACGGCCAGGUGAGGGCAGCUGCUUGAAGAGAUGGAAGCAGUGACCCUCCCCAGCUGCAGCUCUUCGCAGUGCUGUUGCAGAAGCAGGGCUGAAGCACUGCGGGGCUGCUCUGCUGCACCCCGGUUGCAGGUUGAUAGCACCUGGAAGGCAAAAAAAAAAAACAAACCAACCCAACAAACCAACACAAAAGUCCUGAGGUGGUAAUGCAUGCAUGUUCAUGUCUUCAUGUAGAGUGUUCAUCAGUGCCUUAUGUCAUGAUUUACAAAUAAUAAUAAUAAUACCAAUAAUAAUAACCAAAAUACCAUUUGGAAUGCCAACAUUCAGUGGGCUUUGAGGAGAUGUAGCAGCACAUCAUGGUUUGUAGGGACAAGGAGAUACAGACCAUUCUGGGCUGCCUCAUUACCUCAAGGAUAAGACAAGAAAGUGAGCUUCUGGUUAUCAUAGGGGUGGAGGCUGACGUGUCCCCAUAGCC